GACUUGAUGGUGUAGUUGGUAACACGCUUGCUCAAUUUAAUACUGUUAUGUAUCGAGUGCGUAAGAGUCCUCGGUUCGAAUCCGGGUCAGGUCA
Non-coding RNA from Mycena alexandri, 94 nucleotides. Lineage: Eukaryota; Fungi; Basidiomycota; Agaricomycetes; Agaricales; Mycenaceae. The record is from the annotation of a GenBank genome assembly.